Transfer RNA from Ovis aries (sheep), 72 nucleotides. It matches the Rfam family "tRNA". Rfam says of the family: Transfer RNA (tRNA) molecules are approximately 80 nucleotides in length. Their secondary structure includes four short double-helical elements and three loops (D, anti-codon, and T loops). The record is from Rfam. NCBI's taxonomy places the organism in Eukaryota, Metazoa, Chordata, Mammalia, Artiodactyla, Bovidae.
UUCCUGGUGGCUCAGUCAAUAAAGCACCUACCUGCAAUGCAGGUGACCCAGGUUCAAUCCCUGGGUUGGGAA